UACGGAGGGGGCCAGCGUUGUUCGGAAUUACUGGGCGUAAAGCGCACGUAGGCGGCUCGAUGAGUCUCCCUGUGAAAGCCCGGGGCUCAACCCCGGGAGGCCAGGGGAUACUGUCGGGCUGGAGACAAGAAGAGGUUGGUAGAAUUCCGGGUGUAGCGGUGGAAUGCGUAGAGAUCCGGAGGAAUACCAGAGGCGAAGGCGGCCAACUGGGCUUGUUCUGACGCUGAGGUGCGAAAGCGUGGGGAGCGAACAGG
Molecule: unclassified non-coding RNA, 254 nt
Filed under: uncultured Gemmatimonadota bacterium
Lineage: Bacteria; Pseudomonadati; Gemmatimonadota
Description: uncultured Gemmatimonadetes bacterium contains 16S-23S intergenic spacer region
Rfam family: Bacterial small subunit ribosomal RNA
Source: RNAcentral